UUCGAGUGGCGGACGGGUGAGUAACGCGUGGGUAACCUGCCUUACACAGGGGGAUAACACCUGGAAACAGGUGCUAAUACCGCAUAAGCGCACAGGGCCGCAUGGCCCGGUGUGAAAAACUCCGGUGGUGUAAGAUGGACCCGCGUCUGAUUAGCUAGUUGGUGGGGUAAUGGCCUACCAAGGCAACGAUCAGUAGCCGGCCUGAGAGGGUGAACGGCCACAUUGGGACUGAGACACGGCCCAAACUCCUACGGGAGGCAGCAG
RNAcentral lists this ribosomal RNA (264 nucleotides) under uncultured bacterium. RNAcentral describes it as "partial 16S ribosomal RNA". It matches the Rfam family "Bacterial small subunit ribosomal RNA", at positions 90 to 354 of the family's 1533-position model. The record is from RNAcentral.